UUUUUUUUUUUUUUUUUUUUUGGAAUUAUAGCCUUUUUCCCAAAUGACACUAAAAUAAGCAUGGGAAAGCAGCAUUGUAGAUACAGUAAUGAAUUUCAAGUGAAUAUCCUUUUUCCCCUCAAUGUAUUGCUUAUGUUAAACACUGUGGGGGGGGAUACUGCUGUCAAUUAUUAACAUAAGGAUAAAACUUAAAGGUGAUGCUCUCUUGCUAAUUGAAAUAAUUUUCUAGUUUCUUGAACAUAGGUGGCAAAACUUCAAUAGAAAUUUCUCCCACUCUGACUGUGAUGGAUAUAGAUAACUAAUUUCUCCUUUAUGCGAGUAUUUCCCUCACAAAACAAUAGAAUCCAGUAGGUAAAUGCACCUUUAAGGAAAGAGGAAUUUUCAGCUGUAGUUUUGACAUGUUACAGGAGCACGGACAUACUUUGAGCACUUGGUUUCUUCAAAAGCUGAUGAUGCCUAAUGUAAGUGCUUUUAUAUGGCAUUAUAAUAACCAAUGAUAAAAGAAUUUUAAUUGCUUUUGCACUUACCCCAGAAGUCAAUAUAAAUUAUUUAUUCUGGGUUUUCUCUGUUGACUCCAGUGGAGUCAGCAUAGUUUAUGUAAUGGUGACUGAAAACAGGAUUUGGCCAACUGGCUUCAGUCUUUUUACUUGUUCUACCAAGUCAACUCAAUUCUACACUGAAGUGAUUGAAGGAGGCAGGACUGGGCCUCAUGUUUUGCAAAGAUGUUCAGCUUGAUGCAACAGAAGUAUGGAAGACAAUAUACUUAGCCAAAUGAAGACUGGGAGACAAACUCACUGAUCAGGCAGUCACUUGUCAACACAUCUGCCCAGCAAAAAUGGCCAAGCCCUGGCACUACACAGGCUCCAGGGGAAAAGGACUGAGCUGCUGGUGGAUGGACAAAGACGAGCAGUGACAGGCUGGGAUCAUCACUCACUGCAUGGUGACCGUGCUGUAAUGGAUGCAAUUGGAGAUGAGAUGAGUAAAGGAUGAGGUGGGCUUAGAAAUGCAUCCUGGUGAGGCCCAGAGCUGAGCACUAAGCUCAAAGGCAGCUGGUUCCCCAAAGCAGCCAAAGUCAUACAAAUGAAUCACACCCGCUUAAAGCCAUUGCAACAGAGCCAUGAGGGGCGGCCCUGUAAUGGAAAACAGUCAGGAUCCUCCUUUGGGUGAUAGAUUUUUAACAGCCUUUUUUCUACAGGCUGAACCUGACUGAGCAAACCUAGACGCAAUGUCAAACUUAGCAGUCUUCAAAAUUUGGAUGGAAAACACUAUCAGAUUCUGUUGGGCAGAAAACGUGCGUUUCAUGAAGAAAACCUCUUUCUUAAAAAUUAACCUGCUGCAAGUGUUUAAAAGUCUAGCUCAUUCUGAACACUUUAAAACAAAAGUGACUAUAACAUUUCAGAAAUGGGUCUCUAUUGAGUCAGAGGUUCAACAGUUAAAUACAUUUAAAGGUCCAAAGUUUAAUGAUGUAGACUGUAGAACGACUCUCUUAAACUGCCUAAUUCUUCUAAAGCAUGUCAUUUUUUAUGGCAACUGGACUUUUCUGAAAUAGAGCUGCAGAUUUCCUUUUUUCUCUUAUGAUUUCGUGACCUGCUCAGAGGAUGCAGCUCACUGCACCUUCCCAUUCUGGGUGUCUGUGAACAGGCAUGAGACUGAUGGAGCUCAGUUUACCACCGUCAGUCCUACCUGUGAUCAGAGCUCAGGUGGGGAGUACAGCACAGCCCAAUGAAGUAUUUCAGUGUACACUUCAGGCUCUAAGAUUCAAACAGUGAAACCAAACCCAAAGAGACUCUUUGGAUGCUUAAAAAUACUGCCAGACUCAAGCAUGUCAAUGGAAGAGCCUGAAGUAUUCCCUGGUUUUUGGUGUAAGGACAAAGACAUAAAAUUACAAAAUCAAGCCAAAGGCAAUACUGAAGGCAGGCAGUGAACUUCCCAGUUCAUCCUAGAGAUAUUCCAUAUAAAACAUAAAAAAUUUCAAUGCUUUUUACAGACUCUACUGUCAAAAAGGCAAAUGGUCUGAAACAAUUUUAAAAAUGUCUUUCUAUUUUUGAACAAGUUAAAUAGUUUAAAUCAAAACUGAGAUUUUCAAAGAAGAGUUUUAUUUUCUGUUCAAUUUCUGGGAAAUGUCAAAUAAACUAUUCUCCUUCCCCUUUUCUCAGGCUGUACCUUUCUCUGAACAGCUGUACAUAUAUCAUUUGAUGUGGAGGGAAUUUUAUCACUGAGAUUUGAAACAAUUGAGAUAUUCUGGAAUAUAUGGCCUCCUGGAAUAAAUGUCCUUAACAAUCUGCAAGUACUUAUACAUAGCAGAGAAGCACAUUUAAUACCGACAAUCAAUGCACAGCUAAAAGCAAGCACCAGAAAUUCUGAAACAUGUGCACUUCUGGUUUUUACUCUUACAUUAUCAGGUUUUCUUUUGAGCAUUAUAAUACAGCUUCAGAAAUAAUCUGACACUGUUGUUCCCUUGUGACCUGGAUAUAAGAAGCUGCUGUCCUUCUCUUGCCUGUUGUCUUUUUUCAUGGAGGGUCUUCUGGGCUCUUGUUUCCUUGAGGAAAAUGCUACAGAAUGGUGGACAUCCCUGACUGUCAUUCAGGCACAUUUAAAAGCUAAAGGAUGUCCUUCCUCUCUCUGGAUCAAAAAAUUUCUCCCAUGCAACCAUGUUCAACAUUUUAAUACUCCUGUUGCACAAGAAAAAAUCUGGCAAUCUUUUCCCCAAGACUUUCUGAGGAACGUGUGAAUAGUCCAGUGCUGUAAAGGGGUAAAUUCCUUCAUCCUGUGACAUUGGUCCAUGGCAGUUACUGCAGAAGAUAAGCUAAUGACCCAAGAUUUGCAAGGGGACUGCCCCAUGCUGAGCCUUUCAGCUUUGUGAAGGCCACACGGAAGGUUUCAUUUGUCUCAUUAACUUUCCCACUAUACCAAUCAGAAGUUUAUUAUAGAGUAGUUUUCUCUUUUAACUUUUACAGUCCAUAUACCUCGGCAGGAGCCUGGGCACACUGACCCAAGACGCCCCUUCCAGUCCUGGCUUCCUAUGAGAUGCAGGAAAACAAAUCACAAAGGUCCAGAGCAGUAUUUUUACAAACUCUAAAUGAGAUGAAGCACAACAACAGAACAUAUGAUUACACCAACAACCUUCAAGGUAAUAUGACAGACACAAGCCAUAUUGUGCUGUAUAUAGACUAUACAAACAUUUCCACUUGAUUUCCUAAGGAAAUGAGGCUUAUGCAGUCAUGCCUUCUGUCUGUUCAUGUCUGCCCCUAAUAACAUUCAAAUCCACUGCCACAUUUCAAUACAAGUUGUCAGGGGAGAAGCAAAAGAUUUGGAGAUAAUUAUGUUCCUGCAGCUCUUGUCAUUGCACAGAGGAAAGAGACCUAAAUUAGUGCCCCCAGCUGAGGAAAAUCUCCUUGAAGGAGUGGGAUCAAUGGUUUCUUGUCCAGUCAGUACAAACAGCUUAUUUCCAGCCUUCCAAUCAGCCCAAGCAGAGCUCCACAGCACAUGCAGAGCUCCACAGCACAUGCAGCAGGAGCUGCCUUUUGCCCUUCUGCUCAUGAGUGGUCCUGGAAUCUGGGGGCCUCAUGAAGGUCCCUACAAGGUGCAUGGGAGACCCAGGACAUGGUUCCAUAGCAAAAUGAGUAUUGGUUGCUCCUGGAACAGCCCCUUAUAAUUUUCCCACAAAAUGAAUAUGAUAGUUUUGGAUUUUAAUUCCUUGGUUGGACAAUUUCUGCUCUGUUCGCUCUUGCAGCAGCCUCAAAGGGCCAGGAAUACAGCACACAGGCACUCAAGAAUGCUUGGUCAUACUAGUGGCUACAUUUUUCAUCUGAGAUCAAGAAAUUUUUCACAGGGCUCAGGAGUCCCUCAGAUCUUCCAAAGAUUCUUCUAUAGAGUCCAUGUCUCACUGUCCUAACCUUCCAGUAAUUUAUUAAACCAUAGGAGUCCCUGCUGACAUGCAAGGCUUGCUCUUUCUCACACUAAAGUUGAAUUUACCUAAAGUGAUUCUUUGCUUGAGGGUGUUCUUUGGAACCAGUUCAUCUUCCACAGUUCUCUUCCUUGCCCCCACACCCCACCACCUUUUCUUUUUAUUCCCAGGUCACAGACACUAAUCCUGCCCUACUCAGAGGCAUUCCAAAACACCUGUUAAAGAAAUGCGAAGUGGAUAGCAGCAUGAGAAGACACUCCUUGAAGCUGUGCUGGUGACAUGCAUCAUAUGGAAAAGCGUCGUGAAAGUGGCUGACUUCAGCAUCCUGUGGAGCAUUCUAAAUCCUGUCACUGUACUUUGGAGGAAAAAAAACCUCAAACCCUAAAUAUUUUAAAUUAGUAUAUUUGGGUGCAAGAAGAAUCACUCUGAAAAAAAAGGAGCAACUCUCUGAGAAACAUUUGACACAGUUUCCAAGACACUGAGAAUGUCAAGUAGAGCAGGUAAUGCAGCAACCAGAGAUCUGAGCAGAAGAAAAAGAAAACUUCAAUCCAAAUGUACCUUGAAGUACAAUACUUAUGGAUCCAGCAAGGUCUGACCUUUUAAGUAUAAAGCUAUUAAGUAGUUAGGCAUAAGGAGGAAGAGGAGAUCCAUUGCUUGUGAGAUAAACAGAAUACUGAUGCCAAGGCAGGGAGUCUUUUAAAAGUCAGAUCAAUUAAAUCAAUAAAGUAAUGACUGCAAUGCUUUACACACUUGGGAUGGAAAGCUUCCUCCCCUGCCAAGUUAUCUGACAUGUUUUUUUAAGAAUUAUUACGUGGAUAUAGCAUUUCUAAAGAUUGUGAUUUUUAAAAAGAUUUACACUUUUAUUCUUUGCUGAAAGAGUUAUUUCCUGGGGGCGUAGUCCUAUUUUUGAAGGAUUCACCAGCAGACCUUAUUUUUAGCAAGUAGUCAACCAUUCUGCCAACAAAGCAUUAUUCUUAAGAAUUAAUGAAUUAAUGCUGUUGUUAAAAUACUUUUUUUCAAGAAAGAUCCAGCAAAACUGAAACUGCUGUCAGGGCAACUGAACAAACAACACAACAUCCUUGAAACCCACUACUCUAAUACAGCUGGGCGCUGCUGCUGAAGUCAGUCUGUUUAUUUGCAUGGCUAUGAAUUGUGAAAAUUGAGCUUUUUUCUUUUUAAUGAGUUAUUGAUUUUAGAAAAUCACUCAAGACAGAAAAUCCAUACAUUAACAGGCUGGCUUCACUCGCCAAUACGUGUUAUUUUAUAGCACUUCUGAGAAAAUUCAAUGCAUAAAGUCCUUUCAGCCACUGCAGACAGGACAGAUCGAUGUGGCUCUGAGACAGAGAUCAGUGCUUUAGGGGGCUGAUCCAUAAGGAAAUACCUGGGAGACUCCUCCCUCACAGGGAUUAAGUAAUUCUUCAAGAUGACAAAGAUCUGAGAUCCAGAACUUGAGGGUGAAGUAGGUCUCCUGUUUAUUGUACACAGGGUUUUUAUGGAUUUCCAGCAGAUUUUUUU
RNAcentral lists this long non-coding RNA (5422 nucleotides) under Taeniopygia guttata (zebra finch). RNAcentral's name for it is "lncRNA (ENSTGUG00000020092.1)". The record is from RNAcentral. Lineage: Eukaryota; Metazoa; Chordata; Aves; Passeriformes; Estrildidae.